This 187-nucleotide small RNA is filed under the name Numida meleagris (helmeted guineafowl). Its description in RNAcentral is "TUC338 (ENSNMEG00000022081.1)". Lineage: Eukaryota; Metazoa; Chordata; Aves; Galliformes; Numididae. The record is from RNAcentral.
CUGACAGCCCUGGGAGACUGAAAGCCCUAUGUUUAUCCCCAGAGCAGAUACAACACAACUAGCGAAAAAUGCAACUCUCCAUGAGCUACCCUGCCAAUGUAUUUCAGCCCUGAUCUACAGAGCCAGAAAAGUGUUCAGGACACUAGGAGUUACUGUAGUCAUCCAGGCUAUGCAGUCCUUUGUCUUU